RNAcentral lists this ribosomal RNA (467 nucleotides) under uncultured bacterium. RNAcentral's name for it is "partial 16S ribosomal RNA". It matches the Rfam family "Bacterial small subunit ribosomal RNA", at positions 28 to 506 of the family's 1533-position model. The record is from RNAcentral.
GACGAACGCUGGCGGCGUGCUUAACACAUGCAAGUCGAACGGAAAGGCCCUGCUUUUGUGGGGUGCUCGAGUGGCGAACGGGUGAGUAACACGUGAGUAACCUGCCCUUGACUUUGGGAUAACUUCAGGAAACUGGGGCUAAUACCGGAUAGGAGCUCCUGCUGCAUGGUGGGGGUUGGAAAGUUUCGGCGGUUGGGGAUGGACUCGCGGCUUAUCAGCUUGUUGGUGGGGUAGUGGCUUACCAAGGCUUUGACGGGUAGCCGGCCUGAGAGGGUGACCGGCCACAUUGGGACUGGGAUACGGCCCAGACUCCUACGGGAGGCAGCAGUGGGGAAUAUUGCACAAUGGGCGGAAGCCUGAUGCAGCAACGCCGCGUGCGGGAGGACGGCCUUCGGGUUGGAAACCGCUUUCGCCUGUGACGAAGCGUGAGUGACGGUAAUGGGUAAAGAAGCACCGGCUAACUACGU